CGGUGAAGGUGAAAGCUUCUCUCUGUCGGCUGCUCUCCCUCUGUCCUACAGGUCGACAAGACAUGUGCAGCUCGUCUCACUAGAUGACCCGGCUCACCAGGCGCACCUGCACUCAUCAACUGCUCACUAUAUCUGCCCUGGCUGGGCGCAGAGUCGUCGCCAGAUCGUCCUUGUCACUACAGUGCUACCCCGUCAUCCUGCUCACCUGAUUCUCCUUCCUGCUGAAGAACUUCCGGAGCCAUCAGCACCCCCUCGUCCUGGCCUCCUGCUUCUCCUCUGCGCUGAAGAACUCCCGGAGCCAUCAGCACCCCGUCUAUCUACCUUGUCCCACGUUAAAUAAACGUCAUUGAACGCACCACCUCCGUGCUCUGUGUUUGCCUCCGCUCUGGGGUCCAACGGUCUCGUAUCGUAACAGAACGAACUGGCCAUUAAACAAUGGACCCCACGGAGACAAACGAAUUCCGCCACGCCAUUGCGAGGCAAGGGAACCUGAUAGGACAACAAGACCAGACCCUCCAAGGACUUGUUAAUUCCGUGAACUCCGUUGGGACCAUGCUCACACGGCUUCACUUCUCCUCCGCAUCUUCCUCGCAGGAAUCAUCCACCCCGACGCCUUCCGACCCUACUGUGGCUCCCACCCGUGAUCCCCACAUGCCCACACCUGAACGCUACUCCGGUGAGUUGGGGUCUUGUCGGCGUUUCCUGCUCCAAUGCUCACUUGUUUUUGAUCAUCAGCCCUGCAGUUAUGAUAGUGACCGUGUUAAAAUAGCUUUUGUUGUGAGACUCACAAUUUAAUUUUUCAUUUGACCAGUUUCAAACUGAAAUGAAAAAGGUUUUUGACCACCCAGUUUGGGGCAAGGAGGCAGCCAAUCGCUUGCUUUCGCUCCGACAGGGGACACGCUCAGUGGCGGAUUACGCCGUUGAGCUCCUCAUUCUCGCUGCGGAGAGCGGAUGGUAUUCGCUCGCCCUACAGAGCAUAUUUUCUCACGGCUUAGGGGAUAAUAUCAAAGAUGAGUUGGCAGCUAAAAAUGACUCCGAAUCCCUUGACGAUUUGAUUUCUCUAGCCAUUAGGUUAGAUAACCGCCUUAGGGAGAGAAAUCGUGAGCGAGCAGGACGCCAGCAGGCCCCAGCUUCACUUCCCCGUACCUCAGUCAAUCCACCUCCGACAUAUCCUGCACUCAGCUCCUCUUCCCGGGAUUCCACUGAGGAGCCCAUGCAGGUCGGGAGGGCCCGGCUCACGGCCAUUGAGAGGGAGUGGCGUUUCCGGGAACGGCUGUGCCUGUACUGUGGUCAGCCCGGUCACACUCUCUCCAUCUGUUCCCACCGGCCAAAAGAGGGGGCUCAUUAGGUAAAGGAGGAAUCCUGGUGAGCCACAAUCAGUCCUCCACGUCCUUCUCCCCCUCCAGAACAUUAUUAGAGUCAAGACUAGUCACCAACACAUUCUCUCUCCCCCUCAAGGCCCUGGUGGAUUCCGGGUCGGAUGAGAACUUCAUAGACACAAAUCUAGUCUCUCAAAGCAACUUUCCUCUCACUCCCCUCCCAAGACCGACAGAGGUUAGUGCCUUGGAUGGUCGUCAUCUGGCUGAAAUAACCCACCAGACUCAACCCCUCACCCUAGUGGCAUCAGGGAAUCACCGAGAGACCAUCCAAUUCCUGGUCAUCUCCUCACCUCACUCCCCCCUGGUUCUGGGACAGCCCUGGUUACAGCUCCACAACCCCCAUGUCGACUGGAGGAGAGGCACAGUGAUUGGUUGGAGUUCCCAUUGCCAUGCCAACUGCCUCCGUUCAGCCAGCCCGUCAGCUUCUUUCCCACCGUCACCUCCUCCUUCCCCUCCAGACCUAUCUCAGGUUCCCCCAGAAUACCACAGCCUCCAGGAGGUGUUCAGUAAGGACAAGGCCCUUAUCCUACCCCCUCACCGACCCUAUGAUUGUGCAAUCAAUUUAAUUCGGGGACACACGUUUCUGUCCAGCCGUCUAUAUAAUCUUUCCAAGCCCGAGAGGGAGGUGAUGGAGAAGUACAUCCAGGAUACCCUUGCAGGGGGACUCAUCAAGCCCUCUUCAUCCCCGGUGGGAGCCGAUUACUUUUUUGUAAAGAAGAAGGAUGGCUCACUACGGCCUUGCAUUGACUUCUGCAGGCUUAACCAAAUUACGGUAAAAACAAGUACCCACUCCCCCUGAUCGAUGCUGCUUUCGGCCCCUUACACGAGGCCUCUAUUUUCUCCAAG
Molecule: long non-coding RNA, 2225 nt
Organism: Platichthys flesus (European flounder)
Lineage: Eukaryota; Metazoa; Chordata; Actinopteri; Pleuronectiformes; Pleuronectidae
Exons: 3
Source: RefSeq, a predicted model, not a curated record